RNAcentral lists this ribosomal RNA (251 nucleotides) under uncultured bacterium. RNAcentral's name for it is "partial 16S ribosomal RNA". It matches the Rfam family "Bacterial small subunit ribosomal RNA", at positions 524 to 776 of the family's 1533-position model. The record is from RNAcentral.
UACGUAGGGGGCAAGCGUUGUCCGGAAUCAUUGGGCGUAAAGAGCGCGUAGGCGGCCCUGUAAGUCCGCUGUGAAAGUCAAGGGCUCAACCCUUGAAUGCCGGUGGAUACUGCAGGGCUAGAGUCCGGAAGAGGCGAGUGGAAUUCCUGGUGUAGCGGUGAAAUGCGCAGAUAUCAGGAGGAACACCGAUGGCGAAGGCAGCUCGCUGGGACGGUACUGACGCUGAGGCGCGAAAGCGUGGGAGCAACAGG